GAUGAACGCUGGCGGCGUGCUUAACACAUGCCAGUCGAACGAUGAAGCCCAGCUUGCUGGGUGUAUUAGUGGCGAACGGGUGAGUAACACGUGAGUAACCUGCCCUUAACUCUGGGAUAAGCCUGGGAAACUGGGUCUAAUACCGGAUAGGAGCGUCCACCGCAUGGUGGGUGUUGGAAAGAUUUAUCGUUUUUGGAUGGACUCGCGGCCUAUCAGCUUGUUGGUGAGGUAAUGGCUCACCAAGGCGACGACGGGUAGCCGGCCUGAGAGGGUGACCGGCCACACUGGGACUGAGACACGGCCCAGACUCCUACGGGAGGCAGCAGUGGGGAAUAUUGCACAAUGGGCGCAAGCCUGAUGCAGCGACGCCGCGUGAGGGAUGACGGCCUUCGGGUUGUAAACCUCUUUCAGUAGGGAAGAAGCGAAAGUGACGGUACCUGCAGAAGAAGCACCGGCUAACUACGUG
This 466-nucleotide ribosomal RNA is filed under the name uncultured bacterium. RNAcentral describes it as "partial 16S ribosomal RNA". It matches the Rfam family "Bacterial small subunit ribosomal RNA", at positions 28 to 507 of the family's 1533-position model. The record is from RNAcentral.